GGAAUAAGCAUUGGCUAAAUCCGUGCCACCAGCUGAGGUAAGACGGAGGAUGCAAGCGUUUCCGGAAUUAUUGGGCGUAAAGCGCCCGCAGGUGGCUGUUCAAUUCUGUUGUUAAAGCCCGAGGCUUAACCUCGGAUUGGCAAUGGAAACUGAACGGCUAGAGUAUGGCAGGGGUUAGGGGAAUUCCCGGUGUACCGGUGAAAUGCGUUUAUAUCGGGAAGAACACCAUCGACGAAAGUGCCUAACUGGGACAUUACUGACACUCAUGGACGAAAGCUAGGGGAGCGAAAGGGAUUAGAUACCCCUGUAGUC
This 312-nucleotide ribosomal RNA is filed under the name Synechococcus elongatus 0814_107_005_M13_Fp. RNAcentral's name for it is "bacterial SSU rRNA". It matches the Rfam family "Bacterial small subunit ribosomal RNA", at positions 483 to 795 of the family's 1533-position model. Lineage: Bacteria; Bacillati; Cyanobacteriota; Cyanophyceae; Synechococcales; Synechococcaceae. The record is from RNAcentral.